GGGGAUGACAGGCUUCGAUAGGGGGUUCUGUGUUUCCAAAUUGCAUAUCGGGUUGGCAAUGAACCUGUAAAACGUUGCUUCUCUAACUGGAAAAUCAGUUAAGUCUCCUUACGGAGCAUCUCUGGCAUUCGCGUAACAUACUUCGCGGCUAGUGCGCUUUCUCCUGACGUUCAAUACGGAGAGUAGCGUAUCAUAAACCUUUGAACUAGGAACUCGCGGCUUUCUCACGUGUGUUCCGAACCAACAGAAGAAUCGAGGAGUGAUCGCUUUUGUCCGCCUUUUAGGUCACCUCUCUAAACAACGCAAGGUAGACUAUAUAUGUAGACGUUUGCAAAUACACUCUUUACACGGCGGUUCGAGUCCGCCCAUCUCCACUG
RNAcentral lists this transfer-messenger RNA (377 nucleotides) under Patescibacteria group bacterium. It matches the Rfam family "transfer-messenger RNA". From Rfam's summary of the family: Bacterial tmRNA, also known as 10Sa RNA or SsrA, is named for its dual tRNA and mRNA-like properties. Its role is to liberate the mRNA from a stalled ribosome. To accomplish this part of the tmRNA is used as a reading frame that ends in a translation stop signal. RNAcentral also lists the same sequence under 1 other name. The record is from RNAcentral.